UGAGGUGAGGCAGUCAAAAGGACUGGACACAGCUGGUUGAACCCCUCGUGUUUUCAGUCUCUCAUUCAGUAUCCCUUUGUGGAGGAGAAUCAUGUAUGUACCACUCAAAUGUCCCCAACUCCAGGUGCUCCUUUGAAUGAGUGGUGAGGAUGAGGGUAGGAUGCAAAACAAAACCACCAACUCUGGUCCCUGAGGAUAAGAAAACUGAGACUGGAUUGAUGGAGGCUCUAAGAGGGAGAACUGGUGAACAAGAAAAAGCUACUUGAGGUGGAGUUGUGGCCAAGGAUGGAAUGGGUCUACUCAACAUUAAUGUAAAGACCCAGAUCAUUUUAUCUUUUUACACGGUUACUCUUAAGGGACAUGUGACAAGCCAUUUUUGUUCCUUCAAGAACAGCAACAACAACGCAAAGUAGAAACAUAAAUAAGCCUGCUGCAUCACACUUCAGAAAACCGAACUAAGUCAGCCCCAGAGAGCAGCGAUUGAGCGAGCUGUUGCAGGCGUCCAUGUAGCAGCAGCUGCUCAGUCCACGCGUGCUCUCCCUGCUUAGAACCUAAAGACAAGCGGGUGACUCUUCUCCAACUGCGCUACAGGGGUUUCAGAAGUGAAAGACAAUUUUAUCCUCUAUCCACCCUGCACAGAAUGUUCAAUGAUUUGAUAGACGUUAGUCAUUUUUGCCGUACACUGCCUCCGUCUUUUGUAAGAAGCACUUCUAAGGACCUCUUUUGUCUGGAAAUGUUUAAUCUAGUCACUGUAGGACUGAUGAGAAAGUGACAGCACCUACCUGGUUUCUCUGACACGUACCCAUCAGCGCACGGGAUGCAAUCGAAGCAGCAUAUGGGUUGCCCCUGGCGAAUCCCCUUCCGGGUCCCUGGACGACACACAUCUGUGCAGACUGAGUAGGGAAGCUAGCAAAGACAAAGACAGUGGGUGGAACAAAGCCUUGAAACUUUUCCACUGGCGUAACUGAGAAAGUUCCCAACUGUGUUUCCCGGGAGCUGUGGGUCCUGUUUAUCAAGGAGAUGAACCCAGGAUGGUGAGCGGAGAUGGAAGACUAACAUGACAAUACGGGGAGCCUAGAAACAACUUCUGCUGAAGAACCAUCCUGUGACUGACUCUGGAAAUGCCACACUAACUCUAAUGACGGUUCUUUGAGAUCUUGGUGACCAAGACCGAGCUGGCAUCACAGUCAGGACGAUUGGCUAAGUCUGUUUCCGUUUUAGGAGAACUUAAAACUUCAAUAAUCAUCCUGAAAACAUGAAACACGUUUCCUCUCAGCAAACUCAUUUCAACAUAAUAUUAAAAGUAAACAUAUUUCCUAAGUGGUAGGAAAA
Molecule: long non-coding RNA, 1332 nt
Organism: Mesocricetus auratus (golden hamster)
Lineage: Eukaryota; Metazoa; Chordata; Mammalia; Rodentia; Cricetidae
Exons: 3
Source: RefSeq, a predicted model, not a curated record